RNAcentral lists this ribosomal RNA (253 nucleotides) under uncultured bacterium. RNAcentral's name for it is "partial 16S ribosomal RNA". It matches the Rfam family "Bacterial small subunit ribosomal RNA", at positions 524 to 776 of the family's 1533-position model. The record is from RNAcentral.
UACGUAUGGUGCAAGCGUUAUCCGGAAUUACUGGGUGUAAAGGGAGCGUAGACGGUAAUGUAAGUCUGGAGUGAAAGGCGGGGGCCCAACCCCCGGACUGCUCUGGAAACUAUGUUACUAGAGUGCAGGAGAGGUAAGCGGAAUUCCUAGUGUAGCGGUGAAAUGCGUAGAUAUUAGGAGGAGCACCAGUGGCGAAGGCGGCUUACUGGACUGUAACUGACACUGAGGCUCGAAAGCGUGGGGAGCAAACAGG